UCAAUUAAUCAACAUACAUUUUAAUAUCAACAAUGGAAAAUCGACUGAUCGGAUUAGGGAAAAGAAAAAAAAACCUCAGUUAGUCAGUUACCAUAUGUUAGAAUUUGAGAAAUCUAAGCCUACUUUAAUGUGAUAGCUGAUACCAUUAGCCCUUAUGAAAUAUAAUUUCAGCAAGUUAUAAAAUGCUACUAGCUCACCCAGACUAAUAUGUGGGUUUCUCACGUGUGCUAGAAUGAGCGUUUUGAGCAGUCUGCCAGGCAAAGGGAUUGGUGUUGCUAAUAGUUCCCACUUGAUUUAUUUCUUUGCCCUGAGUAGUUGAGAGGCUCGGCCCCAAUUAUGAUGCUGAUGAUCAUAUUAUUGUGACGCCAUCUCAAUUUAAAAUGGUGUUACAAGGUCCUCUAGUUUAUUUGCACUGUGCACAAAUGAUUAUAGAUGAGGGUUGUGCUUUCCUGGACAAUUGUUAUUUCUAUCAUUAGGGGUGCGCUUUAUGCCUUGACAUCCAUGGGAAGGUUUUGCUUAUGUCCCUAUGAUUUGCUAUCUUAAUUUUUUGAGAGUUUGUCAUUGGCCUUUGUAUUACCUAAAACUGCCAUUAAUACUAACAGGUUUCUUCUAAAUAUUAGAUUAAAUUCUGUUCUCUCUGAUUUUCCUUUAGUAGAUUUACGUCUGGUCCUCCUGUAUUUCUGCUGUCAUGUUUUACCUUUAUCCUGUCAACUUAUGGUGCUUGCUGUUACAUCUAUUCAGUGCUAGAUACCUUACAUUUAAAAACUAUCUGAAGCAGAAUGUUUGCAAGCAAUAGCAUUGCUAGAAGGUAAGAAGGUUUCAAUUGUGCCUUUACCCGGAACAAUUUGUUGAUUAGACGUUCUAAUUUUGUUGCGCAUUUUUUUUCUUGUGAAAACUUUUUAAGAACUUGAGGAAAAACUUAACGAACAUCCUCAAUAAACAAACUGUUUUUACACUGGUAAUUUGUUGUAUGAAGUACAUAUCAUUACAAUGUGAGUACACCUAUAUGUGGAUUGGUAAAUGGGAAUGCUUAGUUCUUCUUACUAGCUUGCAUUUUUAGUUUUUUACCUAAAUGCAAGCAUGCACAUUACAUUGUUUGUAUGCAAACUUCUCUGUGUAAAAGUUGCUGCUGUGUACUUUUUAUUUAUUGAUUAAUUGAUUAUUUAAAAGAACUCAUAUCAGUUCCCUUUUCUGUUGGAUUGCUUACCUUCCUGAAUAGCACAAACCUUUGCAGGUUAUAUAUCUAUCUGGUGGUGUCUG
This 1260-nucleotide unclassified non-coding RNA is filed under the name Hevea brasiliensis (rubber tree). The record is from RNAcentral. Lineage: Eukaryota; Viridiplantae; Streptophyta; Magnoliopsida; Malpighiales; Euphorbiaceae.